UACGGAGGGGGUUAGCGUUGUUCGGAAUGACUGGGCGUAAAGCGCGCGUAGGCGGAUCAGGAAGUUGGGGGUGAAAUCCCGGGGCUCAACCCCGGAAUGGCCUUCAAAACUCCUGGUCUUGAGUUCGAGAGAGGUGAGUGGAAUUCCGAGUGUAGAGGUGAAAUUCGUAGAUAUUCGGAGGAACACCAGUGGCGAAGGCGACAUACUGGCUCGACACUGACGCUGAGGUGCGAAAGCGUGGGGAGCAAACAGG
Molecule: ribosomal RNA, 253 nt
Filed under: uncultured bacterium
Lineage: Bacteria
Description: partial 16S ribosomal RNA
Rfam family: Bacterial small subunit ribosomal RNA
Source: RNAcentral